RNAcentral lists this ribosomal RNA (497 nucleotides) under uncultured bacterium. RNAcentral's name for it is "partial 16S ribosomal RNA". It matches the Rfam family "Bacterial small subunit ribosomal RNA", at positions 28 to 507 of the family's 1533-position model. The record is from RNAcentral.
GAUGAACGCUGGCGGCGUGCCUAAUACAUGCAAGUCGAGCGAACGGACGAGAAGCUUGCUUCUCUGAUGUUAGCGGCGGACGGGUGAGUAACACGUGGAUAACCUACCUAUAAGACUGGGAUAACUUCGGGAAACCGGAGCUAAUACCGGAUAAUAUUUUGAACCGCAUGGUUCAAAAGUGAAAGACGGUCUUGCUGUCACUUAUAGAUGGAUCCGCGCUGCAUUAGCUAGUUGGUAAGGUAACGGCUUACCAAGGCAACGAUGCAUAGCCGACCUGAGAGGGUGAUCGGCCACACUGGAACUGAGACACGGUCCAGACUCCUACGGGAGGCAGCAGUAGGGAAUCGUCCGCAAUGGGCGAAAGCCUGACGGAGCAACGCCGCGUGAGUGAUGAAGGUCUUCGGAGCGUAAAACUCUGUUAUUAGGGAAGAACAUAUGUGUAAGUAACUGUGCACAGCUUGACGGUACCUAAUCAGAAAGCCACGGCUAACUACGUG